Molecule: ribosomal RNA, 426 nt
Filed under: uncultured bacterium
Lineage: Bacteria
Description: partial 16S ribosomal RNA
Rfam family: Bacterial small subunit ribosomal RNA
Source: RNAcentral
GUGAGGAAUAUUCCGCAAUGGGGGAAACCCUGACGGAGCAAUGCCGCGUGCAGGAUGAAGGCCCUCGGGUCGUAAACUGCUUUUAUAUGAGAAGAAUAUGACGGUAACAUAUGAAUAAGGGACGGCUAACUACGUGCCAGCAGCCGCGGUCAUACGUAGGUCCCAAGCGUUAUCCGGAGUGACUGGGCGUAAAGAGUUGCGUAGGCGGCUCGUUAAGCGUGAAAUGAAAUUUAUCGGCUCAACCGGUAAACUAUUUCGCGAACUGACGGGCUCGAGAGUAUGAGAGGUUACUGGAAUUUCUAGUGUAGCAGUGAAAUGCAUAGAUAUUAGAAAGAACACCAACGGCGUAGGCAGGUAACUGGCAUACAUCUGACGCUGAGGCACGAAAGCGUGGGGAGCGAACCGGAUUAGAUACCCUUGUAGUCC